This 451-nucleotide ribosomal RNA is filed under the name uncultured organism. RNAcentral's name for it is "partial 16S ribosomal RNA". It matches the Rfam family "Bacterial small subunit ribosomal RNA", at positions 332 to 799 of the family's 1533-position model. The record is from RNAcentral.
UACACUCCUACGGGAGGCAGCAGUGGGGAAUAUUGGACAAUGGGCGCAAGCCUGAUCCAGCCAUGCCGCGUGAGUGAUGAAGGCCCUAGGGUUGUAAAGCUCUUUCACCGGUGAAGAUAAUGACGGUAACCGGAGAAGAAGCCCCGGCUAACUUCGUGCCAGCAGCCGCGGUAAUACGAAGGGGGCUAGCGUUGUUCGGAUUUACUGGGCGUAAAGCGCACGUAGGCGGACUAUUAAGUCAGGGGUGAAAUCCCGGGGCUCAACCCCGGAACUGCCUUUGAUACUGGUAGUCUUGAGUUCGAGAGAGGUGAGUGGAAUUCCGAGUGUAGAGGUGAAAUUCGUAGAUAUUCGGAGGAACACCAGUGGCGAAGGCGGCUCACUGGCUCGAUACUGACGCUGAGGUGCGAAAGCGUGGGGAGCAAACAGGAUUAGAUACCCUUGUAGUCCCAUA